GCCUAUAGCCAUAGCACCCUGAACAUGCCUGAUCUACUCUGAUCAUAGAAGCUAAGCGGGAUGGGGCCUGGUUAUAGUAC
Molecule: ribosomal RNA, 80 nt
Filed under: Pogona vitticeps (central bearded dragon)
Lineage: Eukaryota; Metazoa; Chordata; Lepidosauria; Squamata; Agamidae
Source: RNAcentral